This 1442-nucleotide ribosomal RNA is filed under the name Klebsiella pneumoniae. RNAcentral describes it as "bacterial SSU rRNA". It matches the Rfam family "Bacterial small subunit ribosomal RNA". The record is from RNAcentral. Lineage: Bacteria; Pseudomonadati; Pseudomonadota; Gammaproteobacteria; Enterobacterales; Enterobacteriaceae.
AGCUAUGCGGCAGCUACACAUGCAAGUCGAGCGGUAGCACAGAGAGCUUGCUCUCGGGUGACGAGCGGCGGACGGGUGAGUAAUGUCUGGGAAACUGCCUGAUGGAGGGGGAUAACUACUGGAAACGGUAGCUAAUACCGCAUAACGUCGCAAGACCAAAGUGGGGGACCUUCGGGCCUCAUGCCAUCAGAUGUGCCCAGAUGGGAUUAGCUAGUAGGUGGGGUAACGGCUCACCUAGGCGACGAUCCCUAGCUGGUCUGAGAGGAUGACCAGCCACACUGGAACUGAGACACGGUCCAGACUCCUACGGGAGGCAGCAGUGGGGAAUAUUGCACAAUGGGCGCAAGCCUGAUGCAGCCAUGCCGCGUGUGUGAAGAAGGCCUUCGGGUUGUAAAGCACUUUCAGCGGGGAGGAAGGCGUUGAGGUUAAUAACCUUGUCGAUUGACGUUACCCGCAGAAGAAGCACCGGCUAACUCCGUGCCAGCAGCCGCGGUAAUACGGAGGGUGCAAGCGUUAAUCGGAAUUACUGGGCGUAAAGCGCACGCAGGCGGUCUGUCAAGUCGGAUGUGAAAUCCCCGGGCUCAACCUGGGAACUGCAUUCGAAACUGGCAGGCUAGAGUCUUGUAGAGGGGGGUAGAAUUCCAGGUGUAGCGGUGAAAUGCGUAGAGAUCUGGAGGAAUACCGGUGGCGAAGGCGGCCCCCUGGACAAAGACUGACGCUCAGGUGCGAAAGCGUGGGGAGCAAACAGGAUUAGAUACCCUGGUAGUCCACGCCGUAAACGAUGUCGAUUUGGAGGUUGUGCCCUUGAGGCGUGGCUUCCGGAGCUAACGCGUUAAAUCGACCGCCUGGGGAGUACGGCCGCAAGGUUAAAACUCAAAUGAAUUGACGGGGGCCCGCACAAGCGGUGGAGCAUGUGGUUUAAUUCGAUGCAACGCGAAGAACCUUACCUGGUCUUGACAUCCACAGAACUUUCCAGAGAUGGAUUGGUGCCUUCGGGAACUGUGAGACAGGUGCUGCAUGGCUGUCGUCAGCUCGUGUUGUGAAAUGUUGGGUUAAGUCCCGCAACGAGCGCAACCCUUAUCCUUUGUUGCCAGCGGUCCGGCCGGGAACUCAAAGGAGACUGCCAGUGAUAAACUGGAGGAAGGUGGGGAUGACGUCAAGUCAUCAUGGCCCUUACGACCAGGGCUACACACGUGCUACAAUGGCAUAUACAAAGAGAAGCGACCUCGCGAGAGCAAGCGGACCUCAUAAAGUAUGUCGUAGUCCGGAUUGGAGUCUGCAACUCGACUCCAUGAAGUCGGAAUCGCUAGUAAUCGUAGAUCAGAAUGCUACGGUGAAUACGUUCCCGGGCCUUGUACACACCGCCCGUCACACCAUGGGAGUGGGUUGCAAAAGAAGUAGGUAGCUUAACCUUCGGGAGGGCGCUACCACUUUGAUACUGG